UUUUUCCUGCCAAAUUUAAGA
This is a non-coding RNA of Caenorhabditis elegans, 21 nucleotides long. The record is from Ensembl. Lineage: Eukaryota; Metazoa; Nematoda; Chromadorea; Rhabditida; Rhabditidae.